UACGGAGAUUGCAAGCGUUGUCCGGAUUUAUUGGGCGUAAAGCGAGCGCAGGCGGUUUUUUAAGUGUGAUGUGAAAGCCCCCAGCUUAACUUGGGAAUGUCAUUUGAAACUGGGAGACUUGAGUGCAUUAGAGGAGAGUGGAAUUCCACGUGUAGCGGUGAAAUGCGUAGAGAUGUGGAGGAACACCGGAGGCGAAGGCGGCCCCCUGGGCUGGAACUGACGCUCAUGUGCGAAAGCGUGGGGAGCAAACAGG
RNAcentral lists this ribosomal RNA (253 nucleotides) under uncultured bacterium. RNAcentral describes it as "partial 16S ribosomal RNA". It matches the Rfam family "Bacterial small subunit ribosomal RNA", at positions 524 to 776 of the family's 1533-position model. The record is from RNAcentral.